This 481-nucleotide ribosomal RNA is filed under the name uncultured bacterium. Its description in RNAcentral is "bacterial SSU rRNA". It matches the Rfam family "Bacterial small subunit ribosomal RNA", at positions 28 to 507 of the family's 1533-position model. The record is from RNAcentral.
GAUGAACGCUAGCGGCAGGCCUAAUACAUGCAAGUCGAGGGGCAGUUCUGCUUUCGGGCAGAAGCGACCGGCGCACGGGUGCGUAACGCGUAUGCAACCUACCCACAACUGGGGGAUAGCCCGGAGAAAUCCGGAUUAAUACCCCAUAAUGCAUUGAAACCGCAUGGUUUUAUUUGCUAAAGAUUUAUUGGUUGUGGAUGGGCAUGCGUCUGAUUAGUUAGUUGGUGAGGUAACGGCUCACCAAGGCAACGAUCAGUAGGGGGUCUGAGAGGAUGAUCCCCCACACUGGUACUGAGAUACGGACCAGACUCCUACGGGAGGCAGCAGUAGGGAAUAUUGGUCAAUGGGCGCAAGCCUGAACCAGCCAUGCCGCGUGCAGGAUGACGGCCUUCUGGGUUGUAAACUGCUUUUAUCAGGGAAGAAAACGGCCAUGCGUGGCAGAUUGACGGUACCUGAAGAAUAAGCACCGGCUAACUCCGUG